RNAcentral lists this long non-coding RNA (894 nucleotides) under Panax ginseng (ginseng). RNAcentral's name for it is "long non-coding RNA (PGIN_LNC002821)". Lineage: Eukaryota; Viridiplantae; Streptophyta; Magnoliopsida; Apiales; Araliaceae. The record is from RNAcentral.
UCGGUUGUCACAGAAUCCACACUUGAAUAAACAUUAAAAGAUAAGAAUAAAAGAAGAUGAGAAGAUGAGAAGAUAGAAUCUAUUGUCUGUAGAUUUGAUGCUCUUUCCUUGCUCCUACUUUGAAUCUUCAGUGGUCUCCAAGUCGCUUCGAUCUCCAAAUCUCAUAAAAACCAGUGUUUUCUCCUAUUCUACUCUAAUCUAAUCUAAUGGAAUCCUCUCUCCCUCAUCUAAUCUAUAUAUUCUCUCCUCAUUUAUAUGCCUUUUUAUAUGUCUUUAAGUUCUCUUGGAAGUCCUUUAGUCAAUCGAAUCAAAACAAUCCUUCUUGAACUCAAAUUCGGACAAAAAAUGACUUUUCUGCGCAUACCUCCGCCGGGGCGGGGGUUAUAAGGCUAAAAGGGCCAGCCCCGGCGGGAGUCCCUACUGUUUUGCAGCUGGUAUGCUCGCCCCGGCGGGGGUUUUGUGAAUAGAAAGGCCGCUCCGGCGGGGGUCACUUUUCUGCUCUGACGUCCUUUGGGAAAAUGGAUAUAACUUCUUCGUCUGAACUCUGAUUUCGAUGAUUCAAGAUGUUCUGGAAAGAGGAGACAUAGAUAUACAACUUUCAUUCUUUAAGUUUUUCGAAAUAAGGAAUGGACAAAUGUUGAAAUUGGCUCUGAACUGGAAGCCCAAACGAUAUCCGGAUUGUUUUUCUUUGCGUUUUCCUUAGUUUUCCUUACCAAUAGUCGCUCACACCGCUCCCAAACAUAUAACCUACAAAAUGAACAUAAAAUGCAUAGAAAGUAACUAAGAAACAUGAAUAUAAGCAACUAAUUCAAGUAACAGAUACCGGAUAAGUAGGUAUAAAACCUACUUAUCAAAUACCCACAAACUUAAACCGUUGCUUAUCCCCAAGAAACA